Molecule: ribosomal RNA, 261 nt
Filed under: uncultured archaeon
Lineage: Archaea
Description: partial 16S ribosomal RNA
Rfam family: Archaeal small subunit ribosomal RNA
Source: RNAcentral
UAGCCGUAGACGAUACUCGCUAGGUGUCGGCCACGGUGCGACCGUUGUCGGUGCCGUAGGGAAGCCGUGAAGCGAGCCACCUGGGAAGUACGGCCGCAAGGCUGAAACUUAAAGGAAUUGGCGGGGGAGCACAACAACGGGUGGAGCUUGCGGUUUAAUUGGAUUCAACGCCGGAAAUCUUACCGGGACCGACAGCAACAUGAAGGCCAAGCUGAAGACUUUGCCGGAUUAGCUGAGAGGAGGUGCAUGGCGUAGUCGUGU